ACAUGGCUCAGGACGAACGCUGGCGGCGUGCCUAAUACAUGCAAGUCGAGCGAACAGAUAAGGAGCUUGCUCCUUUGACGUUAGCGGCGGACGGGUGAGUAACACGUGGGCAACCUACCCUAUAGUUUGGGAUAACUCCGGGAAACCGGGGCUAAUACCGAAUAACUUGUUGUCUCUCAUGAGACAAUUCUAAAAGACGGUUUCGGCUGUCGCUAUAGGAUGGGCCCGCGGCGCAUUAGCUAGUUGGUGAGGUAACGGCUCACCAAGGCGACGAUGCGUAGCCGACCUGAGAGGGUGAUCGGCCACACUGGGACUGAGACACGGCCCAGACUCCUACGGGAGGCAGCAGUAGGGAAUCUUCCACAAUGGGCGAAAGCCUGAUGGAGCAACGCCGCGUGAGUGAAGAAGGAUUUCGGUUCGUAAAACUCUGUUGUAAGGGAAGAACAAGUACAGUAGUAACUGGCUGUACCUUGACGGUACCUUAUUAGAAAGCCACGGCUAACUAC
This 506-nucleotide ribosomal RNA is filed under the name bacterium CV19. RNAcentral describes it as "bacterial SSU rRNA". It matches the Rfam family "Bacterial small subunit ribosomal RNA", at positions 17 to 504 of the family's 1533-position model. The record is from RNAcentral.